CUGUCCUACGGGAGGCAGUAGUGAGGAAUAUUGGUCAAUGGGCGCGGGCCUGAACCAGCCAAGUAGCGUGAAGGAUGACUGCCCUACGGGUUGUAAACUUCUUUUAUAAAGGAAUAAAGUGAGGCACGUGCGCCUUUUUGUAUGUACUUUAUGUAUAAGGAUCGGCUAACUCCGUGCCAGCAGCCGCGGUAAUACGGAGGAUCCGAGCGUUAUCCGGAUUUAUUGGGUUUAAAGGGAGCGUAGAUGGGUUGUUAAGUCAGUUGUGAAAGUUUGCGGCUCAACCGUAACAUUGCAAUUGAUACUGG
Molecule: ribosomal RNA, 305 nt
Filed under: uncultured bacterium
Lineage: Bacteria
Description: bacterial SSU rRNA
Rfam family: Bacterial small subunit ribosomal RNA
Source: RNAcentral